This is a long non-coding RNA of Rhododendron vialii, 2717 nucleotides long. RefSeq lists it as uncharacterized. The record is from RefSeq and is a predicted model, not a curated record. The transcript has 2 exons. Lineage: Eukaryota; Viridiplantae; Streptophyta; Magnoliopsida; Ericales; Ericaceae.
CGUUUCGGAGAACAUUUUACUUGCAUUCAAUUGCAACUAUAGCUGUUGUUUUUACCUUUACAUAUCUUCAUGUGUGGGUGUGUGUAUAUUUGUUUACACAUAAAUAUCAGUGGAGACUGGCUUUCUCAUAAACAGGCAUGAGAAGAACGCAAUGAGAGAGAGAGAGAGAGAGAGAGAGAGAGAGAGAGUCUGGGGUGGGUUUCCUCCCCUCCACCUCCUCUUCCAUGCUUUCCCCCUCCUUUUUUCCCAUCUUCUGAUCUCUUCCUUCCUCCUCCUCCCUUAGGCGCCCACCACCCAGACUCUCUCCUCUCCUCUCUACCCGCUAUGGUUGAGUGGUGGUCGACCCCUUCUCCUCUCUACCCGCUAUGGGAUUGUGAUGGUGUAUGAAUUAAUGGGACCGUUGUGGCCGACAGUUCGUGCUUUCCCUUUCGUGUUUUCCAUAAAUGCACCACAUUUCCUGGUGGUUUUAUGAGAUGGGAAGACUUGGGUCUCUUACUUUUCAGAUCGCUGAAUCAGUGAAGCUUCAUCCCCUAAAUUCUGCCGAUAAAUCAUUGAGACGUGCUUCCAUUGAGCUUCUGUUGUGGUUGGAUCAGAGAAGACGAUGGAGGUGCAGGACAGAGAGAAAUCGCCCAUCGGAGUAACCUCUCUUUCUCUUCCUUUCUCUCCCUAUAUGUAUGUAUGUAUGUAUUUAUAUAUGUACAUAUACUUGCGUAUAGCUGAAGCUUGUUUGUAGGAUUAUGGCGGACAAUAAGGCGGUGGCGAUCCGACCAGGAAUGUUAUGGCCCAGCAUUUUUCAUUUAUUUAAUUAGUUAUAUUGUCGUUAUUAAUUGGUGUUAUGUUUGGGUCCCAAUUAAUUAUUUUGCGAGCGUUAUGAAUAUUGAUGUUACAAUUGUAAUAUUUGGGAUAUGAGAUUGAUUUUGGAUAAAAUAGUGGCACCGGAUGGUAAUUUUAUAAAUUGUGUUACAUUGUAUCUAAAUCUAAUUAACUAGUUAGCUAUAAUAUAGAGAGUAGUGGGUAGUUUUACAAACUUAUUUUAGGAGAGAUUUACACCGGGUAGGGUUUUUAUUUUGAGAGAACUUGUGUGAGAAAAAGAGAAACGGUAGUGAGAAAAAGGGUAACGGCAGUCAAAGCUGGUUUGACGGGUUAUUGAUCAAUCGAGUAAGUGGUUUGUCCUCUUCAUGUUUCUCAUUUUCUUCGUUUCCUUUUCCUACGUUUCAAUAGUUUUUGAGUUCCAACUAGAGAACAAAACUUGGGUUUGUGGUGGUGUAUCAGUGGAGUCAAUGAGGGGACAAAUAUGGAUUUUGUUUCUAGUUUUGCACAAGUUCGACUGAAUUAUUUGUCUUAUGCGAUUAAACUAUGGAAGGGUUUUACCAUGCAUGCAUGAUGGAAGUGGGUGUGCAGCGCUGUGGUGUUUUGUGUGUGUGGCGCGGUGUGCGUGUGGGCUGUGGUGAUUUGUGUAGUAUGGGUGAAUGACUGGAUGGGACAAGUGUAGGAGAAUUUAGUUACAUUAUUAUUGAAUGUGGGAUUAUGGGAUUUGGGUGUUUUGGUUUAUGGAACAGAAGAGUUUUGUUUUGGCGGUACUGCCAUGGGUUUGUGCACGUGGACCAUUAGACUUGGAAUUACAAUGAUGGGUUCUUGUAAUUGAGGUUGAGUUGGAUUAGUCUAUUGAGGUUGAGUUGGAUUAGUCUUUGGUUAGAAGAGUAUUUUUCUUAGGGAGUUUCUUAUUGCUACAGAUUAUAUUAUAUUGAUACAGUUAGUGAUAAUAGUGCUACAUGAUUCUUGAUCAGGUUAGACUCAUUUUGCGUUGUUCGUUUGCAUUAUGUUUGGAUCCAAGUGAAUAGUUAAGUAUGUUAGGAAUUUUCAAUAGUUCAUUGUGUCCCUUAAAAGUAUUUCUUUCAGAAAUUUAUAUGAAUGUUAUUCGGAGACUCAAAACUGUUUAUAAGUUGUUCUAUAAAUUGGCAUGCGAUGAAUUUUUUGAGAUCAAUUGUUAAUAUUUUUUUUGGUGAGAAUUUGGUGGAUAUUAAUAGGAACAUUUAUUUCGGAAAUCUAGGGAAAUUAUUCCUCUUCGUGUUGGUGACCUUGACCAUUGGGGAAAAGACUGUGUUAGGUCGGUGAUCUUAAUACUCAACAGUUUUCUUUUGCCGGAUCGUCUUAGGGAAAAGUACCACGGGCUGCCAACCCUGGUGACCCUAAGUUCGAUAUGUUGGAUCCAAUUUUGAUGAGAUUUAUUUUGGCUAUGGUACUGUUUGAUUAUGGUUCCCCAUUGUUGAUGGAGUUAAUGUUUUGAUCACCACUAAGAAUAUUGGUUAAAUGCUUCAUUGAUUAAUUUAUUAUUUUGUUGGACACCUUGUUUGCUAAAUUUUGUUUAAUGGUAAAUUAUUUUCAUUCCCGCUUUCAACUUUAUUUAAUAUACAUACUUGCUAUUCACUGAGCUCGUCAACUGACGGAUUUUUAUCCAACUUCUUUUCCAGGCAAGUUGAGGAGGAGUUAGGCAAGGACUCUGGUGGUAUCUCGGGGAUUUCUUUUUAUUGACUCUCAUAGGAUGUUGCAUUUACUAUAAAGAUUUUAAUCAUCGCUUCCGCACUUUGUAUAGCUUUUGAGUAAAAUGGGAUUACUAUAUUGUUGAUGGUAAAUUUUUAUUGGCUGGUUCAUGGGAUGGUUGUACCCCAUGUUUAUAAUUGGGAUUUAUUUAAUAAAAAAAAAACAUCAUUGUUCAA